GAAAAAAGUAUGAACAUAGAUAGAAAUUUGUUUAACAAAACAAACUAUUGGAAGUCAGAUCUGGCAGGAUGUAGAAAGUGGUUUUGUUAUAGGGAUGGCAGUGUUUGCUCAGCAUUGGAAGAUCCAUCCCCAAAAGUCAUCAUUUUAACAGAGGAAAGGAAAAAGACAUAUGAUCCUGUCACUAAUUGGAGAAAAAGUAUUGAACUAAAUUUUACAGCUAUUCAUGGUAAAAGCUAUCAGGCGACUAGAAGUAGAACAGAAACUUCUCAACAGAUUAAAGACAUGUACUCCAUACUUCCAGCGAGAAUGCCUUAUACAAAUGGAGAAGAUACAAUGCUUUCUCCUUAAGGUGGGGAACAAGGGCAGAUAUGUUUACUCUUUAUCUGUCCAUUAAACUUUGAAACCUAGCCCCCACCAAAAUAGUCUGGCAAUAAAAUAACACAACUAGGAUAGGAUUGGCAUAGCAGAAGCAAAACUUUAUAUGUAGAUGAAAUGAUCAUCUACAGAGAAAAUACUAAGAAAUCUCUAGGAGCUCCUAGAACUUGUACUUGAAUUAGCAAGAUUGGAAAACACAAGGUAUAUAUAAAAAUUCAGGUCUGUAUAUACUUGCUAUAAAUGAAGAAAUGGAUAUUGAAAUUUAAAAGUUAUGUAGGAGUACAAAGGACUUAGAAAAGUUUAAAAAAACAAAAACAGUGUUGGAAGACGUUUAAUACCUAAUUUUAAGACUUCUUCUAAAACUACAGUAAUCAAGGCAGUGUUGGUGUAAGGAAAGACAUAUGGAUCAUUUGAAUAAAACAGAGACUCUAGAGAUAGAACCACACAUAUAUGGUUCACUGAGUUUUUGAAAGAUUAUUUAACAUUAGCAUUUUAUAGAAUAUAAACUCAGUUCAAGAGCUGAGGAAGAGACAGUGUUUUCAGCAAACGGCACUAGAACACCUGGUAUCCAUAUAUAAAAAAUUAACCUCAACCCUUUUUUUCCAUACAUGAAAAUAACUUGAAGGGAUCUAUGAACCUAAAUAAGAAAGCCUAAAAGUAUAAAACUUUAAGAAGAAAUUAUAAGGGAAAAUAUUUAUGAAUUCAGGGUAGGCAAGAACUACCUAGGAUACAAUAAACAUGAUGUUUAAAAGAAAAAAAUUGAUAAAUGAGAGUUCAUCAAAAUUUAGAAUUUUAAAUGACAUCAUUAAAAUGAAAAGUAGUCCUUAAACAGACCAUAUUUACAAUGCAUAUAACCUAUGAGCAGAAUAUAUAAAGAAUUCUUAGAGCUCAUUAAUAGACAACCCAAUUAAAAUGUAGACAUAAGAAGAUGAUAAAUAGCCAGUAUAGCACAAGGAAAGGUGUGCAACUCUAGAAUCAGAAAAAUACUAAUCAGUACAAUAACAAGAUUGAAUUAUAUACUCAUUAGGGAGAUGAAGUUAAAAGUUUCAAAAGCCUUGUCAUGACAUUUUCUUUUUGUUGGAUUCUCCCCCUUGGCCUUUAAUUUGUCAUGCCCAAUGGAUUCAUUCUGCUGGGUUUCCUGGGGUUGUGAUCCUCAUUGUCUUUUCCUAGGGUAUUGUCUAAAAUGUUUUGGAGUGACAGUUUGAUAUUCAUGAAGUUCCUGAGGUGCUCUUUAUCAUCAAAGUAUCUUAUUUCUCCAUCAAUUUUGAAAAAUAGUUUUUCAGGGUACAUCAAUCUGGGUUGGAGGCUGUUUUCCUUUAGGGCUUGAAAUACAUCACUCCAAGCUCUUCUUGCCUUGAGGGUUUGCAUUGAGAAGUCUGCUGUGAUUCUGAUGGACUUUCCUUUGUAUGUGUUUUGUUUCUUUUCUCUCACUGCUUGUAGCAUUUUGUUCUUCUGUUGGAUUUCUGGAAUCCUAACUAUUAUAUGCCUAUGUGUAGAUUUUUUUGAUUAAGGCUAGCUGGAGUCCUAUAUGCCUCACUUAUCAGUGUGUCAAGUUCUUUUCCCCUCCUUGGGAAGUUUUCUGCUAUCACUUCUGUGAACAGUUUUUUUUAUGUCAUCUGCACUCUCUCCUCUUUCUUCAUUGACUCCAAUCAGUCUUAUGUUAUUCUUCUUUGCAUCGUCUAGCAGGUGCUGGAUUGAUUUCUCAUGUUCCCUUACAAUUUUAAAGCAAUUUUUCUCUUCCUGGUCACUAAUUGCAAACUUCUCUUCUACAUCUGAAAUUCUAUCCUCACAUUGGUUCAUUCUGCUGUGCAGUCUUUUGAUGGAGAUUUUAAUCUCCUGCACAUCUGUUUGCAUCUGUUUUAUGGAUUCCAUUUGUUUCCUAUGUUGGGAUUCCAUCAUGUUCCUCAGAUCCUCUAUAUUUUUAUCUGUGUCCUCUCUAGAUUUAUUAAUCAUGUCUUUCACCAUGAGCACAAUCUUUGCUGUUGUCUGAUUAAUUAUUUCUGAUUUCAUUUUUUCCAGAUCCUCUUUCUUUGCUAGUUCAGAGAGUCCAGGUGGUUGAGUAUCAGAGUGUUCCAUCUCAUUUCCCUUUGGGGUUGCUGUAGGUGAUCCAGAAGUCUGUUUUUGAGGCUUGUUUACGUGUCUUCUCAUUUCUAUGGGGGGGAGAGUGCUUCUGGCACCUGUGCGGCUCACCUUCUCUGCCCUAGGAGCUUGGGAUGGUGGCAGGGGAGCUUCCUUCCAGGUGCUCCAACAAUAUAUUUCAUAGAACUAGAGAAAAUAAUCCAAAAAUUCAUUUGGAAUAAGAAGAGACCUAGAAUAGCAAAAGUAAUUCUAUGCAACAGAGACAUGACAGGGGUUUUAUAUAUAUGAUUCACUGAUGUUUGAAAGAUUAUUUAACAUUAACAUUUUAUUGAACAUAAACUCAACUCAAGAGAAGAGGAAAAGAUAGGGUUUUCAACAAAUG
RNAcentral lists this long non-coding RNA (2836 nucleotides) under Heterocephalus glaber (naked mole-rat). RNAcentral describes it as "lncRNA (ENSHGLG00000050220.1)". The record is from RNAcentral. Lineage: Eukaryota; Metazoa; Chordata; Mammalia; Rodentia; Bathyergidae.